Molecule: ribosomal RNA, 933 nt
Filed under: Triticum aestivum (bread wheat)
Lineage: Eukaryota; Viridiplantae; Streptophyta; Magnoliopsida; Poales; Poaceae
Description: partial small subunit ribosomal RNA
Source: RNAcentral
AUGCGCUUCUUGCUUAUUUCUGAUUGCACUCUGGGCGAUAUGAACUUUUCGAACCCUUUGGUUGACUUCGGUGAUCAAAACAAAAUUUGUAAUAGCUUCAGGAUUGCCGGUGCGGCUGCUUGGCACCCUGACCCUGUCGCUCAAGCAGAGUUUAUUUCCUCAUGCAAGUAUCCGUUCUCAAGUCCGAGGAUUAAUGCUCCACUCGACUCUGCUGAUGUUGACCACAUUACCAGAAAGAUGUUUCAAGGACUCCCCGCCCCUGGCAGUUUGCUGCGGCGUCAAUCUGUUGACAUGCCCAAGCUCUGCCGUCGUGUUCAAUAUAAAAUUGACCAAUGGAUGCACGAGUAUACAAGAAUCUCAAAGAAAGUCAAAGCAGCGCUUGCCUCAUACAGAGAACCCUUGUAUCUUCAUGUUAUUUGUGGCGUCAACCAUAAUGUGUCUGGCCCUGAGUACUGUAUAGAUGGUCACAAACCCGUUUACAUAUACCAGCAUACUCAUGUUAAUUUUUUGGCAAGUCGAAGAGAUGGAAAUCCAGAACUCUUCUUUGCUGAACUUAGCAACGAUGAGGCAGAGGAUGGAGGUGGGAAGGUUUUGUGUUGUCCUGUGAGCUUUCCACAGCCACGACAAGAAGAAAUCCGCUGUCUGUACUGUGAUUAUGAAGGUACUAAAAUUGUGCACCCGGCUAUGGAGGAAUUCCCAUUCAAAGGGCGUGACUCAGAGUUUCAGAAGAUGGUGUGUGGAAUAGAUCCCUACGAAGAUGAACCCUGUCCAGGCGUUUCGCAGUUCUACACCAACUGCACUAUCAUCAGGACCUCGUCCACGGCAUUAGAUUGUGUGGGACAUUUGGGAGUAGAUGACCGGAUCUAUACCGACUUUGAUGACGACAGUGAUGAGGAAGAUGACAGUGAUGAUUAUAGUUGUGAAUCCGAGUGA